This 97-nucleotide small RNA is filed under the name Marmota monax (woodchuck). The record is from RNAcentral. Lineage: Eukaryota; Metazoa; Chordata; Mammalia; Rodentia; Sciuridae.
GCUGGGUAUGGUGGUGCAUGCCUGUAAUCCCAGUGGCUGGGGAGGUUGAGGCAGGAGGAUUUCGAGUUCAAUAACGGGGGAAGGGCUCCUUCCUCUU